UGUAACAAUAUGUUGAAUUUGCCAUGGGCCUUUAAAGCUUCAAUGUUGUGAAGAGCUCUGCAUGAAAUUUUAAAGAGACUGGACCUUUCAUCUGCACAACAGCAGGGCACCUCGCUAUAGGGACAAGAAAGGAAGAGAGAGAGAGAACAUUUCUGAAGUAAUAGUGAAAAAUAACAGCAGAAGCAAUUAUUUCAUCAAAGAUUGCAGGGAGAGGCUCCUCCGUGCUCCUGAGAGGCCGAACACAGGGUCGCCAGCACAGCUUACUGCUCGGUGUCUCCUGAGCCACAGAGGAAGACGUGGCAGGAGCACCUGGUGCUAAUAUAUAUUCAUGUCUAUGGCAAUGCCGACCAUCUGGCUGGUCUGAACCAGGAUAAAAGUGAAGAAUUCCUCUGUGAAGACCCAGCUCUUUCUUUGGCUCCUUUUUUGAAGCCAUCUUUGCUCUGCUCUCCUCUGCUGCCCAGAAAGUUCCAGAGUGAAGCUCAGCUCUAGAUGAACAAAAACUGGUUGAGUCCAGAGAUGCCUGAGUUGGAGAUGAACCUUGCAAACUUUCCUCAUUACCAUACUAAAAACCCCACCCAGGAAGGAGCUUAUCUGCCAUUUCCUACACAUGUGACAUAUGGAGAAGCAUGAUCAGCUACUUCACAGUCUCUGCCUUUACUCUGCCUCCGCAUACAAUGGCUCAGCCAACUAGCCUAACGAAAGCUGUUUUCACCAUUGUUUGGGAGGUACUGCUUUGGGAAACUGCCCCAGCUGUCCUCCUUACUUGUUGUAGGUAAUAAAAUC
This 783-nucleotide long non-coding RNA is filed under the name Homo sapiens (human). Its description in RNAcentral is "non-protein coding lnc-ZFHX3-27:13". The record is from RNAcentral. Lineage: Eukaryota; Metazoa; Chordata; Mammalia; Primates; Hominidae.